CUGAUUUCUCACUCUUCGGAGAGUCCGCGGCUCCCGUACAGAGAAUCUGAGGAGCCAAACAGCGGCUGAAUUAGACCAUGAAAUUACAGAUAACAUUUAAAAAUAAUCUCAGCAUAAUGAUUACAGCGAGGCCACUGAGACAUUUCUUAAGGCUCUGAAAUUAUCCACACUAUUUAUUGACUUCUUCCACACUCAGCGAUAAGAAUAUGUAAUCAGUUUUUCUGGUAAUUUGUUGUUGUAUCAGGAGGAAGAGUCGAGGAGGGGCGAGUGUUUGUGACGCCGGACAGACGGAUGUUUGGACUCUCAUUCUGACGGCACCCAUUCACUGCAGAGCAUACAUUGCUGAGACACUGAUGCAAUGCUACUUUUCUACAAAUCUGACGAAGAAACACACUCAUCUACAUCUAUAGAUGGCCUGAGGCUCCAUCGAGAGGAGCUUGGCCCAAAACAGCACCUGUUGUUCACCGAGUGACCUUCUAAUUUUCUAAUUCAAUUUCAUCUGGAGCCGCUCUGCCUCCGCGAUCAGCAGCCAGUAAUAACAAUUACUGUGACCGACUCAACCUGCACCUUACUUCAAUCAGAGCUGUGAGGACUGGAAGGGCAUCAAGAGGACCGGCUGAUCAUUUAUCAUCAGCGCGGGGGGAAAUUACUUCACUUACUCGGAAAGAGAAGGAGAGAGAGGGGAG
Cyprinus carpio carpio is the source of this 686-nucleotide long non-coding RNA. The record is from Ensembl. Lineage: Eukaryota; Metazoa; Chordata; Actinopteri; Cypriniformes; Cyprinidae.